RNAcentral lists this ribosomal RNA (598 nucleotides) under Colletotrichum gloeosporioides. RNAcentral's name for it is "eukaryotic LSU rRNA". The stretch from base 227 to 380 matches the Rfam family "5.8S ribosomal RNA". The record is from RNAcentral. Lineage: Eukaryota; Fungi; Ascomycota; Sordariomycetes; Glomerellales; Glomerellaceae.
GGAAGUAAAAGUCGUAACAAGGUCUCCGUUGGUGAACCAGCGGAGGGAUCAUUACUGAGUUUACGCUCUACAACCCUUUGUGAACAUACCUAUAACUGUUGCUUCGGCGGGUAGGGUCUCCGCGACCCUCCCGGCCUCCCGCCUCCGGGCGGGUCGGCGCCCGCCGGAGGAUAACCAAACUCUGAUUUAACGACGUUUCUUCUGAGUGGUACAAGCAAAUAAUCAAAACUUUUAACAACGGAUCUCUUGGUUCUGGCAUCGAUGAAGAACGCAGCGAAAUGCGAUAAGUAAUGUGAAUUGCAGAAUUCAGUGAAUCAUCGAAUCUUUGAACGCACAUUGCGCCCGCCAGCAUUCUGGCGGGCAUGCCUGUUCGAGCGUCAUUUCAACCCUCAAGCUCUGCUUGGUGUUGGGGCCCUACAGCUGAUGUAGGCCCUCAAAGGUAGUGGCGGACCCUCUCGGAGCCUCCUUUGCGUAGUAACUUUACGUCUCGCACUGGGAUCCGGAGGGACUCUUGCCGUAAAACCCCCAAUUUUCCAAAGGUUGACCUCGGAUCAGGUAGGAAUACCCGCUGAACUUAAGCAUAUCAAUAAGCGGAGGA